This 83-nucleotide transfer RNA is filed under the name Candidatus Handelsmanbacteria bacterium RIFCSPLOWO2_12_FULL_64_10. RNAcentral describes it as "tRNA-Leu". It matches the Rfam family "tRNA". Rfam says of the family: Transfer RNA (tRNA) molecules are approximately 80 nucleotides in length. Their secondary structure includes four short double-helical elements and three loops (D, anti-codon, and T loops). The record is from RNAcentral. Lineage: Bacteria; Candidatus Handelsmaniibacteriota.
GGCUGCCUGGUGAAAUGGUAGACACGUUGGCCUUAGGAGCCAAUGCCUGAAAAGGUGUCCGAGUUCGAGUCUCGGGGCAGCCA